Molecule: ribosomal RNA, 499 nt
Filed under: uncultured bacterium
Lineage: Bacteria
Description: bacterial SSU rRNA
Rfam family: Bacterial small subunit ribosomal RNA
Source: RNAcentral
CUGGCUCAGGAUGAACGCUGGCGGCGUGCCUAACACAUGCAAGUCGAACGAAGCACUUAGACAGAACCUUCGGGUGACGUAUUGGUGACUGAGUGGCGGACGGGUGAGUAACGCGUGGGUAACCUGCCCUGUACAGGGGGAUAACAGUUAGAAAUGACUGCUAAUACCGCAUAAGCGCACGAUGGUAGCAUUACCAGGUGUGAAAAACUCCGGUGGUACAGGAUGGGCCCGCGUCUGAUUAGCUUGUUGGCGGGGUAAGAGCCCACCAAGGCGACGAUCAGUAGCCGGUCUGAGAGGAUGAACGGCCACAUUGGAACUGAGACACGGUCCAAACUCCUACGGGAGGCAGCAGUGGGGAAUAUUGCACAAUGGGGGGAACCCUGAUGCAAGCAACGCCGCGUGAGUGAAGAAGUAUUUCGGUAUGUAAAGCUCUAUCAGCAGGGAAGAUAAUGACGGUACCUGACUAAGAAGCUCCGGCUAAAUACGUGCCAGCCGCCGC